UGAGGAAUAUUGGUCAAUGGGCGGAAGCCUGAACCAGCCAUGCCGCGUGAAGGAAUAAGGCCCUAUGGGUCGUAAACUUCUUUUGUACGGGAGCAAUAAGUCUCACGUGUGGGACGAUGAGAGUACCGUACGAAUAAGCAUCGGCUAACUCCGUGCCAGCAGCCGCGGUAAUACGGAGGAUGCGAGCGUUAUCCGGAUUUAUUGGGUUUAAAGGGUGCGUAGGCGGCUUGGUAAGUCAGCGGUGAAAUGUCGGGGCUCAACCUCGGAACUGCCGUUGAUACUGUCAGGCUUGAAUGCGGAUGCCGUGGGAGGAAUGUGUGGUGUAGCGGUGAAAUGCAUAGAUAUCACACAGAACACCGAUUGCGAAGGCAUCUCACGAAUCCGCGAUUGACGCUGAGGCACGAAAGUGCGGGGAGCAAACAGG
This 424-nucleotide ribosomal RNA is filed under the name uncultured Bacteroidota bacterium. Its description in RNAcentral is "bacterial SSU rRNA". It matches the Rfam family "Bacterial small subunit ribosomal RNA", at positions 355 to 776 of the family's 1533-position model. Lineage: Bacteria; Pseudomonadati; Bacteroidota. The record is from RNAcentral.